Molecule: ribosomal RNA, 1260 nt
Filed under: Triticum aestivum (bread wheat)
Lineage: Eukaryota; Viridiplantae; Streptophyta; Magnoliopsida; Poales; Poaceae
Description: partial small subunit ribosomal RNA
Source: RNAcentral
AUGGCGCGUGGCCAAAGCGGUUACCGCCCGCGGUAUCCGUCUAUGAAACCGCAUCAUCUAAUGCGUUUCAUCUUCUGGAACAUCCGAGGCUUCGGCCACGCUGGGAGGCGGACCCAGUUAAGAGAGUUCAUUAGGAACGAGGAAAUCGACGUGGUCGGAUUGCAAGAGACUAUCAAGGCCGAUUUCAACCACCGGGACUUGCUUGCGGUUGACCCGUUGGAGCGUUUCGUCUGGCACUGGGUGCCUGCGGUAGGACACUCCGGGGGUUUGCUGCUAGGAGUUAACCUAGUCUGCCUUGAAGUGGUGGCUUGGGAUGCCGGCCGCUUCUCCCUGUCGGCCCACGUGCGGCACCGCGCCACUCUACAGGAGUGGAUGGUGAUUGCCGUGUAUGGCCCGGCCAAUCACUCGCUCUCGCUGGAGUUCUUGGAAGAGCUUCAGACAAAGGUGAGGGCUGUUGGCGUGAGCAACCUUCCUCUGCUGGUGGGGGGUGACUUCAACUUGAUCCGCUCGGGAGCGGACAAGAACAACGAUAUUAUUAACUGGUCAAGGGUGGCCAUGUUUAAUAAUGCUAUUGCUUCCAUGGCCCUUAGGGAAGUGGCCCGCGUGGGGGCUCGAUAUACCUGGACCAACAAACAGCUCACGCCGGUGCGUUCGGUCCUGGACAGGGUUUUUAUGUCCUCGGAGUGGGAGGUGUUGUUCCCUCUGUGCUCUCUACACGCAGAAACUAGGAUCGGGUCGGACCACGUCCCCCUCAUCCUUUCCUCGGGGGAAGAAAGGCUUAAACGUAGCCCGCGUUUCUUCUUCGAAACAGCAUGGCUGGAGUCUCCGGACUUCGAGCAAACCUUCCUUUCGAAGUGGGCGAAUUGCGUUGCUCGCAUCGGUCGCGUACGCGGCCCCAUGGAGUUCUGGAUAGCCGCAGGGGCGGGUAUGCGAGCGGCUCUCAAAGGGUGGGGAGCUAAUCAGGGUUGGGCGGAUAAGCGGUUAAGGGUGCGCCUGACUGAGGAGCUAGCUCAGCUAGACGCAGCGGCAGAUCUGCACAUCUUUUCCGCGCAGGACUGGGCCCAGCGCUACGCGCUUGAGGCCCAAGUCGAAUCCCUCCUCAGGGCUGAGGAAGAGUACUGGCGUAGGCGCGGUGGAAUAAAGUGGACGCUCAAGGGCGACGCGAACACAAAAUACUUCCACGCAUACGCAAAUGGCCGACGCCGUAAGUGCGCUAUCCUUCGUCUUCAAUCGGAGCAGGGGCUCAUACUGCGGCAAUAG